CAUUCUGACCCAGUUUGGUCCCGUUAAAUAGGCGCAUCAGUGCUACGUCCGCCCUCUGCUCGUGCUGGAGGUAAAAAAGUGCUCAUUAUUUGGGCAAUUUCGACCCAUUUAUUUCUAUGAGAGUAAAACAGUUCUAGGUAUCGUGUCUGCCAAGGUAAUAAUUACCUCGCUAUUUAGUUUGGUUAUUUACCAUGCUAGUUUGUGUGGUUGCUAUAUGGUAGUGUUCACUAGUUUUAGUUAUUGAAGUUUCUUCUUAAUUUUAAUUUAUCUUCGAUCGUGCCAUUUUGUGUCCAACGUCGCGUGUCUGCAACUCCAAACGCUGUCCAGUUUUGUAGGAUUUCUUGAAUUAGAUUUUAAAAUGAAGAGGGUAUAAUAUUUUAAAUUGUGAUUGCAUUAAAAUUCGACAUUAUAAAUGAUUCAAGAUAUUUAUAGGCCAGGAUAUGAACAAUCUUCACAGUAAUCAUUUGGUAAAAGAUGAAUAUCUAGGGUAUACCGUACAAUAUCUAAGGUAUACCGUACAAUAUCUAGGGUAUACCGUACAAUAUCUAGGGUAUACCCGACAAUAUCUAGGGUAUACCAUACAAUAUCUAAGGUAUACCGUACAAUAUCUAGGGUAUACCAUACAAUAUCUAGGGUAUACCAUACAAUAU
Long non-coding RNA from Hyalella azteca, 650 nucleotides. RefSeq lists it as uncharacterized. The transcript has 2 exons. NCBI's taxonomy places the organism in Eukaryota, Metazoa, Arthropoda, Malacostraca, Amphipoda, Hyalellidae. The record is from RefSeq and is a predicted model, not a curated record.